This is a long non-coding RNA of Taeniopygia guttata (zebra finch), 7229 nucleotides long. RefSeq lists it as uncharacterized. The record is from RefSeq and is a predicted model, not a curated record. NCBI's taxonomy places the organism in Eukaryota, Metazoa, Chordata, Aves, Passeriformes, Estrildidae.
AACACGGAAAACAAGUUGUAUAGAAUAAAUCUGACCUACAAAUGUGUGUUAAUGCAAAUGCUGGUAAAGAUGGGGAAGACACUUGGAUUGGUGCUCCUUGUGUGCAUGAUUUGUAUAGAAAUACUGUCUGCAUUCCAGAAUAACUUGAUUUAAAGCUUGUUUGUCAAGGGCUACCUUUUCUCUUUCUCACUUUCCUGUCAUCAUGCUUAAGUGUACAAAUCCUCACAGAGACAAUCUACUCAUCAGCAGCAGGAGACAAAAGAUCUGGUACUCAGGAAAAUGAUUUUUUUUUUUAACUAAAGAAGAAGGAAUCAGGCUUCAGUUCACAGCAAGAAAGAUUUCCUGUGUUAUUUGUUCCUCUGUGAUCCUUUAUCACGUCAGCAGCGAGUGCCCUGCCUUUUAUACCCUACUUAAGCAGUCUCCAUUACCAGGCAUGCAGCAGUCAGCCAUUCUAGCAUUCUGUUGCCACGCUGUGCCUUGUAAUGAAUUUUUCAUGUGUUGUCUUUUUUCAGUUAACUCAGCCUUGAAAAGAGACAGAGCUCCACUCUCUCUGUAGCACCCAGAACCAAGCUAUUUACUGUUUUCUGAUGCUUUCUAGAAUUUGCUUUGAAUAGAGUUGAAAACAACCCACAAUUUAGUAAUUAUUUUUCUUCAUUUUGUAUCUGCUGUGUGAAUACACCUUUAAGCCUCAAAUGGUCUGGGUAGAAGUCCCUUUUCUUCCUCCUUAUGUAUAAGGUGAAGUCUUGAAUAGUUAAAAGCAUCAGAGAAAAGAAAUAAGAACCAUCAUCAGCUUCAGCAACCCUUUUUCAUAGCUGAAGGAAAUAAACGUAUUUUGUGAAUGACAGGAAAGACUGAAGCUGUGGGAGCUUCUGUGAAAGGGCUGAAGGUUAGGGCUUAGGUUACCAGCCUGUGUCAAUGUCUGCACUGUUCACGCAGAACCCCUGAAACCUUUUUCAGUUGAGCUUGGCAGCUUAUGUGAAAGUAGUUGUAUUCUAUGCGCUUUUUUUCUUAACUCUCUCCUGAAGGUGUGUAUGUGAAAAAAAGCAACUCCACAAGCUUAUUUGUAAGGAUUUGGGAGGCGUUAAACCAAAGGCAUCCUUGGCCUUAUGUUUAUAUUGUUGAUGCAAGCUUUUGGUGAAGGCAUAUCAUAGAUAUCUUCAUUUCCCUGCUGCUCAAUAAUUUAUUCUCCCUUUCUUUCUCCUCAUUAGAGAAAGCAGCACUCUGAUAAGGCUCCUAAUUUUUCAAACCCCUUGUUGGUGAGUGAUGCAGGCUGAAUGCCCACUGUCAGCCAUAUGCUGCUGGAGCAAGUGCUUCCCAGAAAAGCUUUCUGUUUCUGGCUGGGAGGCAGCAGCACUGCGAGUGCCUGAUGUCACUGACUUACCUGGCUUUUCUUUGAAUGGUGACUUUUCAUUUUCUUACAGUCCUCUGCUCUGUAUCCCAGGGCUAUCUCUGCUGAGCUUCUUUCAGUGCCUUCUGUUCCCAAACAGCAAUGGUAGGAGAAAGGAAGCAAAAAUUUCUUAUCCCCAUUCUAUAAUGUGUUUGGGAGAUUUAUUCCUGUGCUGGAAUUUUUGCAGGGGAUACAGUAGCAGCUGUAGAACAUGGUUAAAAUCCUAGCAAUUCUUUGCAGUUUCCAGUAAUACACUUGUUUUGUAGAAUAAAUAAGAUUUUAUCAGAAGAGAGUGGAUUUUAUUGGUAGUUCACUUAGGGUAAAGUGCGUACCAAGCUGUCCUUAAUGGAAAUGAGAAAUAGGGGUCGUUACAUACUUUGUGAGGAAGACAAAGAUUCAUUUUCAUGGAAAGAUCAUAUGUUAUGACAUCUUUAUUUCCCUUUAGAGACUUUAUUGACAUUCUUGCUUAUUUCUAGUUCUCAUAAAUAUAACCACCCCUUGUGAAUCUCAACAACUGCUUUGUCUUCCUUAAUUUUCUUCUUUUGAGUUUGCUUCACUAACAUUGUUUUGGAUUCUCCAGCCUACUUUCCCAAAGUUGGAUCUAAAUGCUGACUGAUAAUAUAUCUAAGUUUGUGAUCAUUAACUAAAAGGAGAAGGACAACUAACUUGGGACAAAGUUUCUCAGGAAAUGAUGAUCCUAGGCUUAUAAAUCUGCCAUUUCAAUCAUGCUUAGAAUCACUUGGUAUCUAAAUAUAUGUAAAGUACAUUUAGCUUGAUGUGUCUUUCAGAAAUUUUGAGCAGGUGGAAGAGUGUGUGUCCAUUUACUGGCUUUAAUUAGACAUUGGGGCACCAAACUGUUUCAUUUAGCAACACUAUUGACCCUUAAAAAUACCUUUCUGCUUAGAGAAACAUUGAUUUUUAUGUAUUUAUCCCAGUCUCUUGGGCAGCACAGAUGCUUGAAUGAACCUCUUGGCAUCUUCCAGCUUUGCUUGUAGCUGUUGCUGAAAUGAGAAGUGAUGUCUUGUAAAUAUGAGUAAGCAGGCAUAUUAUGUAAAUUGUUAAUACUAACAAUUGUUAAAUUAGUGGCUUCUGCAGGUGAAUGUAAAAUAUCUGUGCAAAAAUUAAAACUCAAUAAAUAGGCAUUCAAUAAAUAUUCAAGCAUAUCUGUCCUUUUUCAACUCUUCUGAUUAUCUGUUUAAUGUAUGUCAUUAAAAAUGUGGGAGAUUAGGUUUUAGUGACUCCAGUAAUCUUUCUUUUGUUUUUAGAGUGCUGUUUGGUGUAAAUGAGAAAUUUCUUGUAUUGAGCUGUCAAAACAGCUCAGUUCAAUAAGCAGAUUUGCAUGGGAGUUGGUCAGUUGUCAUUUCCUCUAGUUUGCUUGCUCAAUCUGUACAUAUGUUGCCUUUGCUAAUUUUGAUUACAAAGAAGUUAAAUGGUUAUGUAGAGAAUUUUUCUUUAUCUUGCUUGUUUUUUGCAUUUGAGAAUACAAAAAAGUCCCUGCCUUUCACAGCUUGUCUGUGUAGUCUUUUCCAUCAUGUUAUGUUGAAUUUUUGUGGCAGAAAAAUGAUUAACAAGGACUGAUACAUUCACCCAUUCACUUUCUGUUUCUAACCCUUUUAAAAUGUGUUGCUGCUUCUAGAGGGAGCAUCUUAUAUCAGAUAGUACCUUAGGUGAAAAGGUAAGUGUUAAAAUACUACUUCUUCUGUGGAAAAACAGCAAAAAUGCUAUUUGCCGUCCUUUAAAAUAAAACAGGUAUGUCUGUUGGAUGUAGGUGUUUAUUUGCAUGGGAUUUACAAUCUGUUAAGCAGGUGGUGUAUUUACCUUCUUAUUUCUAAGUCAGGAGCAAAAUUUCAGAGAUUUCAUUAUUAGGGAACUUUUUGAAAUUAGCUUGUAAUGAUAAAGGCCUUUUUUCAGUUAAGUGCCGCUGGACUGGGGGUGGAGGUUGUAUCCACACUACUGAACUUUCUGUCUCCAUUGUUGGUGCUUUGGUCUGCAGCAUUGUGGAUUCAGGCACUCUGCUCCCUUGCAGAAGUGUUACAGUUCAAUGUUCAGAGUUUUCUGGGGGAUUUUGUAAGCUCUCUUCCAUUGCUUUCUUCUUUGUAGAAACAUAUUUUUGCCCUUUCCCCUUUUUUCUCUUCUUCUCUUGAAUGUUUAUGUAAAGCACAGCAUUGAGUGUUGAUCUCUCUGAGCUGGUUGCAAGCAAACUGAAAUGUCUAAUCAGCAAUAUGUAUGUGAGGUCCCAGAAGGAUUAUAACUGUGUCAGUGUGAUGCUGCAUCAGGGCUAAUUAGCUCUGCCUCUCAGACUGAGUAAUUAGCUCAGGUAUCCUGCUCUGCUGCUAUGACAACCAGGCUGUUUCCAUUUUUGGAGCUCCCUAGAUUUAGAGCUGACUUGGGUAUCUGCAUGGCUGUCAGCUCGUGCCUUCUGUUAUUGAUAGAAAACAAACAGAAAGCUCCUCGAGCACUCUGACCUUUCUACAUUUUCAAGGCAGAGAGCCAUGCUUGUGGAAUAAAUAUUUUUUUUCCUAACCAGAAGCAAUUAGUGGUUGAAACAGCCUCUUGAGUUGUGAAGGAAAACCAGCCACUGAGUCCAUAGGAGAAAAGAAGCUUUCUUUUGCAGGGGAAAAAGGUCUCACAUAAUUGAAGAGGAAACUACUUGACUGCUUUCAAGUGCACAGUGAAACUAUUCCCAUUCCUUCUCUCCUUUCCAUCUCCAUCAUUAGCCUUCCUUCUCACCUGUUUUCUGCUGGGUAAGCCAGAAACUUGUACAUUUUUAAGCAGGUUUUCAGAAGUGGUCAUUGAUGAGUAAAUAUUCCAGCUGUCACCUGUUGGCCUGGAGUGCUGGUGCUGCUUAAGGCUGGGUUUUUCUCACUUGUGGGUAAGCAGAGAUGUGACUCUUUUCCCAGGGCUUAAAGCCAGACUCCUUUGUGGAACUUUUCCUGUGAAUCAAACACUUGGGGUUCCACACUGUCUUCCCACUUCAUCCUUGAGUGCCUGGUUGUUAUUCACCUAUUCUAGAUCCUCUGUCGAAUUCUGAUUGAAUGGCACAAACUGUGCCAAUAAGUGCAGGAGUUCUGAGUUGGCUUGCUCAUUUGGUUUUUAUUAAUGUUCUAUGAGCCUAAUUAAGGGCAAACUAAUAGAUUUCUGCUUUGCCAAAGGAAAUUGAAGGCUAGAACCAGGAAAAAGCAACAUAGAGUGGAUGUUGUAUGGUCUGGUAAGAGCAGUGAACAAGCAAGCGCUUACUUUGCUGUUGGAAAGAAUUCCAGAAGCAAAUUAGCCAGGAAAUAGUGCUAUUUACUCUGAUGGAUAAUAUUUUAAUAAGGGGGUGUAACAUGGUAAUUGGAGAAAUGGUCUAAAAAAUUUAGUUGUCCAUGAUUUUGUUUUGUGAUUGAUGGAAUCGUUGUUCUGUACAGGUGGAUGUUAGGGACCACAAAGAAGACUUUGGUUAAUCUAAUUCCCUGCAUAUGGGCCUUUUGCAGGGAGCUGCAGAGAGUGAGAAAUGUUGUUGACUUUGGCAUGUGUUAAAAAGCUUUACCUCUUGAGUCAUUAAGUUAUUACUAAGAAGUUGGUAUCAUAAACAUUUUGUAUUGUGACCAAAUUAGAAAAUACUGCGAUUCAUUGCAUUGGAGCUUGUAUUUUUAUUAAGUGUAUAAAGUCUGCUUUCUCACAGUUUCUUCAAUGAAAUCCCUUUUCAGUGUGUGAAUAUAGGGGAGAAUGUUGCAAAGUAAGAACUAAUAUACAUUUUGAAAAAUGGUUACUUACUUGUGUAGGAUUUAAGUCAUAGCAAUGGCAAGGAUUUCUAAAAUAUUUUGUAUGCAUAGUAUAAAGAAAUAAAUGCACCCCAGUAACUAUAAAGCAGUUAAAAACAUGCUAUUAACCACAUUAAAAAAUGGCAAGAUUAGACUGUAGGAUGGAAAUGGCUUGAUCUUAAUUUCAUGUGUGGUGUAGAUAAACAAGAGUUGAACUUUGUGUUUCUUGGUUCUGAGCCUUGAGGUAAUUUUUAGUGUGUUUAUCUUGAAGUGAAAUCUUACAAAAUUUAAACUAAAAAUAAGAUGUAAAUGGCUUGGGUGGAAGGUAAAUCAGAUUACCAGGCAUACAUUAAAUGUUUCAUUAGUUCUUUAAAUGGCUGUAGGUAGGGUUAAAAAGUUCAUAUCAGACUCUUGACAAUUAAUAUGGUUAUGUCAAAAUCAAUUUUUUGUGAAGAAAUACAAAUAGUUAAUAUCUGUUGACAUUCUUGAAAUUAAAGCAUUGGUUUUGUUGUGUGUAUUGUUUUAAAUCAAAAAGUUUUUUACUAUUUCUUUCUGUUUGCUUCUGAAUGUGUUUGUACUUGUCAUCUCAUGUACUCUUUCUUCCUUACUACUUCUUUUUCCUCUUCUUUAGAUAUUUAAAGAUUCUGUAGCUAUAAGGAAAGGAAUUAUAAUUUCUUUUAAAAUUCUUUUAAACUUUACUUGCUACUGUCUGGGGAUGAGAAGGGUUGAAAAGUUUUUUUAAAAAAACUCCAUCUGAAAGUGUAAAAAAAUGUUGAAGUAGUGCAAUACAUUUUAUAUCUACUUGUGAACUAAUAGCAUCUCUUUCCCAAAAGAUGCAUCCUGCUACUUUCAAAAACAAGUGGGAAAAAGCCAUCGGAAUUUACUUUCUGUGCAGGAGACAUGAAGAAAGGGCACACUGGUUUGUGGUUUGAAAAUCUGAAUGAAAUACCUGCUGUGCUGUGUUCUGACUGCAGUCCAAGCCUUCCCUCUAUGAAUUGGUAGCAGGAGCAAUAGUAAUUUAAACCAAACAUAUCAUUCUUUAUUUUUUGCUACCUGAAUAUAUCAAAGUAGUCGCAUUGCAUGUACAACAGCAGACCAAAAAGGAUCAGGCUUUAAAUCAGCUAAUAACUAAUCUAUGGGUAUGAAUUAAUACAAACUUCUAAAUAAUUUAAAAUUUUAGAGUGAAUCUAUAAUGUAAGGAAAGACAAAUUAGCUAUGAAAUGAAUUCUGCACUGUAUAGUUCUGUAUAAUAAGUUCAAAUCUCUGCUGAAAAUGAAAGCACUCCUUGUACUCUUGGAACAAAGUCUGUGUUCUGCCCCUCUGCACUACUGAGUAAACUCUGAGCUUGUAAAAUUAAUUUUGGCACUGCUCACUGGAGAAAAAUUUCUCAAGGAGUUAAAAUACUAUUGCCUGUUUUCUACUAUAUUAAUUUGAUUACAUCCAUAUUGAUCUGGAAAACAGUGCUACUCACAUGACUAUGAAGGUGAAACUUGAGUCUCUCAGGCCGUGCUUUUUUAAUGCUGCAGCUUUUCAAAAGAAGAGCAGUAAAUAUCUCUUGGUGUUAAUAAUUCCAGAUAGGUGCUGCCUUACUAGCCUUUUUUUUUUUUUCUUUUUUUUUUUCUUUUUUUUUUUCUGUAUUACACAAAUUUAUUACAGGAGGAACACCCUUUGUACUAAGCAGAGGAGUAAAAGCCUUAGUUUGAUUUAUUUCUGCAGUACUAUUCUCAGACUUGUGAACAAAUUAUGUCAGUGUAUGAGUUUGCUAUCUGUGUGUGAGAUACAUUGCUGGAUUUACUGUAGAUGACAGGUGCUUCCUGAGAAGACAAGAACUAAUUAUAAAAAGCAACCAAACACAACUAGAUCUUAGAUUUGUUCUGACUGGUUUUCAGAUUGGGAAAGUACUCAUGUCUCUGGCCUUUCCAAACAUGCAAAUUCUACUGAAGGUUAGUCAGACCUCUUGCAGACCAAGGGUAGGAAUUAAAUUGCAAAAAAGAUAGUUCUCUCAGCAAACACUGUAAUUACAGUUCUCUCUCUGCAUUAGUGAAGCCACAGACUUACUUGAUUAAGUGCGGGUCUGAUACACUGCAGUAAUUAUUUCU